UACAGAGGGUGCAAGCGUUGUUCGGAAUUAUUGGGCGUAAAGCGCGUGUAGGCGGUUUGUUAAGUCUGGUGUGAAAGCCCUGGGCUCAACCUGGGAAGUGCAUUGGAUACUGGCAAACUUGAGUACGGGAGAGGAUAGUGGAAUUUCGAGUGUAGGGGUGAAAUCCGUAGAUAUUCGAAGGAACACCGGUGGCGAAGGCGGCUAUCUGGACCGAUACUGACGCUGAGACGCGAAAGCGUGGGGAGCAAACAGG
This 253-nucleotide ribosomal RNA is filed under the name uncultured bacterium. Its description in RNAcentral is "partial 16S ribosomal RNA". It matches the Rfam family "Bacterial small subunit ribosomal RNA", at positions 524 to 776 of the family's 1533-position model. The record is from RNAcentral.